UUCCUACGGGAGGCAGCAGUGAGGAAUAUUGGUCAAUGGGCGGGAGCCUGAACCAGCCAAGCCGCGUGAGGGAAGAAGGUACAGCGUAUCGUAAACCUCUUUUGUCAGGGAACAAAGGCGGGGACUAGUCCCCGGAUGAGGGUACCUGAAGAAAAAGCAUCGGCUAACUCCGUGCCAGCAGCCGCGGUAAUACGGAGGAUGCGAGCGUUAUCCGGAUUUAUUGGGUUUAAAGGGUGCGCAGUCGGCCUGUUAAGUCAGCGGUCAAAUCGCGGGGCUCAACCCCGCCCAGCCGUCGGAACUGCCGG
RNAcentral lists this ribosomal RNA (305 nucleotides) under uncultured bacterium. RNAcentral's name for it is "bacterial SSU rRNA". It matches the Rfam family "Bacterial small subunit ribosomal RNA", at positions 336 to 639 of the family's 1533-position model. The record is from RNAcentral.